AAAUCCUGUUGGAAUUUCCCCAGCACAUCCCCAGCGAGUCCCUUUGUAAAAAUUCCCCAACAAACUUACCCCAACAAAUCCUAGAAAGCCCGCUUUGAAACAAAUACCCAGCAUGCCCCAUUGUACAAAAUCCGCACAAAGAAUCCACUUUGUAAAUAUUCCCCCUCAUAGCUUCCUUUUGUACAAAUCCCCACCGAAUACCUCCAAUAAAACCCCCGUUGAGAACCUCCAAGCAAAACGGGACAAAAAAAAAAGAAAGAGAGAAAAGAAAAAGAGCCUUGUGAGGCGAAUCAUCACGGAAUCUGGAAAUACAAGCCUGAGCAGUCUAAAAGGUUCCGACAUAUGAAUCAAAUCAAUGGCAGGACUUCGCAACAGAAAUGAAGACGCAACAAAGCAACCGGGAACGAUCAAGGUCACCAAACCGACCGUCAUUUCCGAACUAACAAAUGUUCUUUAUCUGAAAAGUUGAAACAGGUUUAAUCCAAGAUAACCGUGCAAGAAGCAGGUGUCGCCCAAAGAAGAAGGUACAUGGGUACAAGAAACAUUUCGGCAAUAAGGAAUUCACUCGAAAGGUAAGUUUCCACGAAACUCCCUUUUAUCUUCUACUAAAACAAGAAAAUUCAAAAAAAGAAAAGAGGUCAGUUGUUGUUCUCGAAUUUUGCCCCCAGCCAUCAGCAUUAGGGUUUUAAACCCUGAACUGAAUUUUUCUUUUAGUCAGCAUUAGGGUUUUAAACCCUAAACUGAACUUUUUCAUUCAGCCAGCAUUAGGGUUUUAAACCCUAAACUGAGCUUUUCCAUGCAAUCAGCAUUAGGGUUUUAAACCCUACACUGAAUUUUCUUUUAGUCAGCAUUAGGGUUUUAAACCCUAAACUGAACUUUUUCUAUUCAGCCAGCAUUAGGGUUUUAAACCCUAAACUGAGCUUUUCCAUGAAAUCAGCAUUAGGGUUUUAAACCCUAAACUGAAUUUUUCCCUUUAGUCAGCAUUAGGGUUUUAAACCCUAAACUGAACUUUUUCCAUUCAGCCAGCAUUAGGGCUUUAAACCCUAAACUGAGCUUUUCCAUGCAAUCAGCAUUAGGGUUUUAAACCCUAAACUGAAUUUUCCCUUUAGUCAGCAUUAGGGUUUUAAACUCUAACCUGAACUUUUUUCCCAUUCAGUCAGCAUUAGGGUUUUAAACCCUAAACUGAACUUUUUCCAUUCAGCCAGCAUUAGGGUUCUAAACCCUAAACUAAGCUUUUCCAUGCAAU
RNAcentral lists this long non-coding RNA (1246 nucleotides) under Nicotiana tabacum (common tobacco). RNAcentral's name for it is "long non-coding RNA (NTAB_LNC018430)". The record is from RNAcentral. Lineage: Eukaryota; Viridiplantae; Streptophyta; Magnoliopsida; Solanales; Solanaceae.